UACGUAGGGUGCAAGCGUUAAUCGGAAUGACUGGGCGUAAAGCGUGCGCAGGCGGUUUUGUAAGUCUGACGUGAAAUCCCCGGGCUCAACCUGGGAAUUGCGUUGGAGACUGCAAGGCUAGAAUCUGGCAGAGGGGGGUAGAAUUCCACGUGUAGCAGUGAAAUGCGUAGAGAUGUGGAGGAACACCGAUGGCGAAGGCAGCCCCCUGGGUCAAGAUUGACGCUCAUGCACGAAAGCGUGGGGAGCAAACAGG
RNAcentral lists this ribosomal RNA (253 nucleotides) under uncultured bacterium. RNAcentral's name for it is "partial 16S ribosomal RNA". It matches the Rfam family "Bacterial small subunit ribosomal RNA", at positions 524 to 776 of the family's 1533-position model. The record is from RNAcentral.